AUACGUAGGGGGCGAGCGUUGUCCGGAAUUACUGGGUGUAAAGGGAGCGCAGGCGGGGAUGCAAGGUGGAUGUGGAAUACCGCAGCUUAACUGCGGAGCUGCAUCCAAAACUGUAUUUCUUGAGGGAAGUAGAGGUAGGCGGAAUUCCCAGUUGUGCGGGGAAAUGCGUAGAUAUUAGGAGGAACACCAGUGGCGAAGGCGGCCUACUGGGCUUUAACUGACGCUGAGGCUCGAAAGUGUGGGGAGCAAACAGGAUUAGAUACCCUGGUAGUCCACACUGUAAACGAUGAUUGCUAGGUGUGGGGGGACUGACCCCUUCCGUGCCGGAGUAAACACAAUAAGCAAUCCACCUGGGGAGUACGACCGCAAGGUUGAAACUCAAAUGAAUUGACGGGG
Molecule: ribosomal RNA, 396 nt
Filed under: uncultured bacterium
Lineage: Bacteria
Description: partial 16S ribosomal RNA
Rfam family: Bacterial small subunit ribosomal RNA
Source: RNAcentral